This 495-nucleotide ribosomal RNA is filed under the name uncultured bacterium. RNAcentral's name for it is "partial 16S ribosomal RNA". It matches the Rfam family "Bacterial small subunit ribosomal RNA", at positions 28 to 507 of the family's 1533-position model. The record is from RNAcentral.
GAUGAACGCUGGCGGCGUGCCUAAUACAUGCAAGUCGAGCGAACAGACGAGGAGCUUGCUCCUCUGACGUUAGCGGCGGACGGGUGAGUAACACGUGGAUAACCUACCUAUAAGACUGGGAUAACUUCGGGAAACCGGAGCUAAUACCGGAUAAUAUAUUGAACCGCAUGGUUCAAUAGUGAAAGACGGUUUUGCUGUCACUUAUAGAUGGAUCCGCGCCGCAUUAGCUAGUUGGUAAGGUAACGGCUUACCAAGGCAACGAUGCGUAGCCGACCUGAGAGGGUGAUCGGCCACACUGGAACUGAGACACGGUCCAGACUCCUACGGGAGGCAGCAGUAGGGAAUCUUCCGCAAUGGGCGAAAGCUUGACGGAGCAACGCCGCGUGAGUGAUGAAGGUCUUCGGAUCGUAAAACUCUGUUAUUAGGGAAGAACAAAUGUGUAAGUAAAUGCACGUCUUGACGGUACCUAAUCAGAAAGCCACGGCUAACUACGUG